Molecule: ribosomal RNA, 731 nt
Filed under: uncultured bacterium
Lineage: Bacteria
Description: bacterial SSU rRNA
Rfam family: Bacterial small subunit ribosomal RNA
Source: RNAcentral
AACAGGAUUAGAUACCCUGGUAGUCCACGCUGUAAACGAUGUCGACUUGGAGGUUGUGCCCUUGAGGCGUGGCUUCCGGAGCUAACGCGUUAAGUCGACCGCCUGGGGAGUACGGCCGCAAGGUUAAAACCCAAAUGAAUUGACGGGGGCCCGCACAAGCGGUGGAGCAUGUGGUUUAAUUCGAUGCAACGCGAAGAACCUUACCUACUCUUGACAUCCAGAGAAUUUGCUAGAGAUAGCUUAGUGCCUUCGGGGACUCUGAGACAGGUGCUGCAUGGCUGUCGUCAGCUCGUGUUGUGAAAUGUUGGGUUAAGUCCCGCAACGAGCGCAACCCUUAUCCUUUGUUGCCAGCACGUAAUGGUGGGAACUCAAAGGAGACUGCCGGUGAUAAACCGGAGGAAGGUGGGGAUGACGUCAAGUCAUCAUGGCCCUUACGAGUAGGGCUACACACGUGCUACAAUGGCAUAUACAAAGAGAAGCGAACUCGCGAGAGCAAGCGGACCUCAUAAAGUAUGUCGUAGUCCGGAUUGGAGUCUGCAACUCGACUCCAUGAAGUCGGAAUCGCUAGUAAUCGUAGAUCAGAAUGCUACGGUGAAUACGUUCCCGGGCCUUGUACACACCGCCCGUCACACCAUGGGAGUGGGUUGCAAAAGAAGUAGGUAGCUUAACCUUCGGGAGGGCGCUUACCACUUUGUGAUUCAUGACUGGGGUGAAGUCGUAACAAGGUAACC